Molecule: non-coding RNA, 157 nt
Filed under: Lachnospiraceae bacterium M18-1
Lineage: Bacteria; Bacillati; Bacillota; Clostridia; Lachnospirales; Lachnospiraceae
Also listed under: 1 other name
Description: TPP riboswitch aptamer (THI element)
Rfam family: TPP riboswitch aptamer (THI element)
About the family: Vitamin B(1) in its active form thiamin pyrophosphate (TPP) is an essential coenzyme that is synthesised by coupling of pyrimidine and thiazole moieties in bacteria.
Source: Rfam by way of RNAcentral
AGAUGUACACAGGGGUGCCUGAAACUGUUCCGGAUCACAUCCUGCCGUAAGCGGCAGCGGUACGGUUUUUGAAACGGCUGAGACGUAUGUGUCUUCAUACGAACCCUUUUAACUUGAUCCGGGUAAUGCCGGCGUAAGGAAAGGAGAAUUUCAUAAU